UACCCUAUUUCAUAACUCCAAUAUACAUAUUGGAAAACAUAAACCAAUCGAUGACGUAAGAGCAUAUACUGACAGUAUACUGAGACUCAAUUUCUCUCCAGUGUACUCAGACAACAUGCCUACGCACAUCCCCAUAAAAUCCAAUUACACUCCAUAUGAACAUAUGGAAAUUGGACCAAAUCUCUACACAACACAAAGUGUUAUACUCUCUCGCACUUACAUCUCCGAUACUAUUACUUCAGCCAUUGUUGUUUCCAAACAACCAGAUGAGUGCAACCAUUGUAUGCUAUGGUCGCGCACUCCUUUCUUCUGAAUUUAUUUUUCAGGUUUAGUGCUGAAAUCAAGGAUUCCAAAGCAUUAAUAUGAAAAUGGACGGCCUACCCGGGGAUUGGGUUCGAAGUAACAAAAUUACAAACUUCCCCAAACAAACUUACGAAAAUGUAAUUGGAAUGAAUGGGUUACGCAAUGGAACGUAUGGAAUUCAAAGUCAACCCAAGCAGAAUGUAAUCGAAAAAUAAUUAAAAUAACAAUAAAAAGAAAAAUGUCCCACUACCUAAAAUUCAAAAACAAAAUAAACCUUCACCACAAUUUCCCGAAUUCAAUCUAUUAAUUUAUCUACCUAAUCGAAUCAGACUUAAAUUUUCUAAGUUCAAAUUAUUACUUACAACUAAAAUUUCCUAUAUUUCAAAUAUUAAAACUACUUAAUAAGAAAUUAACCUAAACGUAGUUCACAGGGUCGUGAAUUAACAGUUGGGCGCCAAUGUAAGGGGGAUCCUGCUCGGGUCUUCAAAAUCUCCGACUUUCGCGCCAGAGGACCACGGCCCUCUGUCGGGAUUCAAAGUUAUGGUUGCCCGGACUAGCGUUUUCGCUUGGCCACGCGACAGUAUCCACCUUCAAUUGACUUUUCAACCAACUUACAACCGAUCCGAAAUUUUCGAUUUCGGAAACAACCAAAUCGACCAAAUCAGUUAGAUUAACUCACCAAAAAUUAAGUGAAAUUAAAAAAAAAAAAAAAAACUAAUCCAGAAACUUUCCUUCUUUCAAUCGUCUAUUUUUUCCAAAUUAACCCUAACUCCUAACGAUGACGUCGCUCUUAGCCCUACUCUAUGUGUAUAUCCUAUCUCUAUAAUGGUUUUCCCUACUUGGAAGGGGUUUGUGUGCGCACACUUUUGUUUCAGGGUACUCACGAAUCGAACGAUGACGUUGCAGCACCGGUGAUGGAACGAUGGAGCAGCGUGAUGUUUGCUGAUGCGCUCGCACAGUGUUCCGCUCACCGACGUGAGUUUUCGGGAAUCUCGCUGGCGUUGGCAGUCUUUUCCCUUGACUGAGGCAAAAACCACGGUGGAGUGUUGCCGCUUGUAGCGUACGGCAGCCGUGGGACCGAGCUUCCUCACCGAUGACCAACGCACUCCAGAAUGGCCUAUAGUAGUACGCAACUACGAGGCGAUAGGCCACUCCGGGGGAUUCUACCGACGCACCGAUUCACAAUGAUAAAUUGAAUAUACUCCGGACGCGGAGCCACAAGGCUACAUAAAUUAAUGGUGUCAUUAAUGCCCUGUCUACUACCGAAAAUACAUAUUUUAUUUUUAGUUUUAAAUUUACCUCCGUUCCCUUGGUGCGCAAAAACUGCUGCAACCGUAUUUCUUGUAGAAUUGUUCUACAAUAAUCCUAUUCACAAAUAAAAUUAAA
Long non-coding RNA from Toxorhynchites rutilus septentrionalis, 1689 nucleotides. RefSeq lists it as uncharacterized. The record is from RefSeq and is a predicted model, not a curated record. Lineage: Eukaryota; Metazoa; Arthropoda; Insecta; Diptera; Culicidae. The transcript has 3 exons.